Oncorhynchus kisutch (coho salmon) is the source of this 131-nucleotide long non-coding RNA. RefSeq lists it as uncharacterized. NCBI's taxonomy places the organism in Eukaryota, Metazoa, Chordata, Actinopteri, Salmoniformes, Salmonidae. The transcript has 2 exons. The record is from RefSeq and is a predicted model, not a curated record.
UAUCUACGUGUAUAUCAUUGACUGUAUUGUCUUUUUAGGCCAAGAGGACCAAGAGAAACAAAGUGGAGCAGAUCACUGAUGCAGGUCCCUCUACAUCUGUGGAAUUCUCUGGGAUGGCAGUUCAGGGGACA